GCCAAUGUGGCCGAGUGGUUAUGGCGUGUGACUCAAGCGCAAGCUUAUCUUCUUACGAAGACGCAUUCUCAUAGGGAAACCUGCGUGGGUUCGACUCCCACCGUUGGCA
Non-coding RNA from Clathrospora elynae, 109 nucleotides. The record is from the annotation of a GenBank genome assembly. NCBI's taxonomy places the organism in Eukaryota, Fungi, Ascomycota, Dothideomycetes, Pleosporales, Diademaceae.